GAAGGCAUAGCUCAACAGUAGAGGGCAUGCUUAGCAAGCAUGCUGUCCUGGGUUCAAUCCCCAGUACCUCCC
RNAcentral lists this transfer RNA (72 nucleotides) under Camelus bactrianus (Bactrian camel). It matches the Rfam family "tRNA". Rfam says of the family: Transfer RNA (tRNA) molecules are approximately 80 nucleotides in length. Lineage: Eukaryota; Metazoa; Chordata; Mammalia; Artiodactyla; Camelidae. The record is from Rfam by way of RNAcentral. RNAcentral also lists the same sequence under 1 other name.